RNAcentral lists this ribosomal RNA (109 nucleotides) under Streptobacillus felis. The record is from RNAcentral. Lineage: Bacteria; Fusobacteriati; Fusobacteriota; Fusobacteriia; Fusobacteriales; Leptotrichiaceae.
UUUAGUGACAAUAGCCACAGGGAUACACCUAGUAACAUUUCGAACCUAGAAGUUAAGUCUGUGCACGCCAAAGAUACUUAGUAAUAGGGAAAAUAGGUAGUUGCUAAAC